ACGAACGCUGGCGGCGUGCUUAACACAUGCACGUCGAACGGAAAGGCCCUGCUUUUGUGGGGUGCUCGAGUGGCGAACGGGUGAGUAACACGUGAGUAACCUGCCCUUGACUUUGGGAUAACUUCAGGAAACUGGGGCUAAUACCGGAUAGGAGCUCCUGCUGCAUGGUGGGGGUUGGAAAGUUUCGGCGGUUGGGGAUGGACUCGCGGCUUAUCAGUUUGUUGGUGGGGUAGUGGCUUACCAAGGCUUUGACGGGUAGCCGGCCUGAGAGGGCGACCGGCCACAUUGGGACUGCGGUACGGACCAGACUCCUACGGGAGGCAGCAGUGGAGAAUAUUGCACAAUGGGCUGAAGCCUGAUGCAGCAACGCCGCGUGCGGGAUGACGGCCUUCGGGUUGUAAACCGCUUUCGCCUGUGACGAAGCGUGAGUGACGGUAAUGGGUAAAGAAGCACCGGCUAACUACGUG
Molecule: ribosomal RNA, 467 nt
Filed under: uncultured bacterium
Lineage: Bacteria
Description: partial 16S ribosomal RNA
Rfam family: Bacterial small subunit ribosomal RNA
Source: RNAcentral